GGGGACAUAGGUUAGUGGUAGACUUCAUGGUUUUCAGCCAUGCUGCGUGAGUUCGAUUCUCACUGUCCCUA
Molecule: transfer RNA, 71 nt
Filed under: marine sediment metagenome
Description: tRNA-Glu
Rfam family: tRNA
About the family: Transfer RNA (tRNA) molecules are approximately 80 nucleotides in length. Their secondary structure includes four short double-helical elements and three loops (D, anti-codon, and T loops). Further hydrogen bonds mediate the characteristic L-shaped molecular structure. tRNAs have two regions of fundamental functional importance: the anti-codon, which is responsible for specific mRNA codon recognition, and the 3' end, to which the tRNAs corresponding amino acid is attached (by aminoacyl-tRNA synthetases). tRNAs cope with the degeneracy of the genetic code in two manners: having more than one tRNA (with a specific anti-codon) for a particular amino acid; and 'wobble' base-pairing, i.e. permitting non-standard base-pairing at the 3rd anti-codon position.
Source: RNAcentral